Molecule: ribosomal RNA, 710 nt
Filed under: Roseovarius sp.
Lineage: Bacteria; Pseudomonadati; Pseudomonadota; Alphaproteobacteria; Rhodobacterales; Roseobacteraceae
Description: bacterial SSU rRNA
Rfam family: Bacterial small subunit ribosomal RNA
Source: RNAcentral
GGGGCAUGCGGCAGCUACACAUGCAGUCGAGCGAGAACUUCGGUUCUAGCGGCGGACGGGUUAGUAACGCGUGGGAACGUGCCCUUCACUACGGAAUAGUCCCGGGAAACUGGGUUUAAUACCGUAUACGCCCUUCGGGGGAAAGAAUUUCGGUGAAGGAUCGGCCCGCGUUAGAUUAGAUAGUUGGUGGGGUAACGGCCUACCAAGUCUACGAUCUAUAGCUGGUUUUAGAGGAUGAUCAGCAACACUGGGACUGAGACACGGCCCAGACUCCUACGGGAGGCAGCAGUGGGGAAUCUUAGACAAUGGGCGCAAGCCUGAUCUAGCCAUGCCGCGUGAGUGAUGAAGGCCUUAGGGUCGUAAAGCUCUUUCGCCAGGGAUGAUAAUGACAGUACCUGGUAAAGAAACCCCGGCUAACUCCGUGCCAGCAGCCGCGGUAAUACGGAGGGGGUUAGCGUUGUUCGGAAUUACUGGGCGUAAAGCGCGCGUAGGCGGAUUGGAAAGUUGGGGGUGAAAUCCCAGGGCUCAACCCUGGAACUGCCUCCAAAACUAUCAGUCUAGAGUUCGAGAGAGGUGAGUGGAACUCCGAGUGUAGAGGUGAAAUUCGUAGAUAUUCGGAAGAACACCAGUGGCGAAGGCGGCUCACUGGCUCGAUACUGACGCUGAGGUGCGAAAGUGUGGGGAGCAAACAGGAUUAGAUACCCUGGUAG